Molecule: unclassified non-coding RNA, 389 nt
Filed under: soil metagenome
Description: partial contains 5.8S ribosomal RNA, internal transcribed spacer 2, and large subunit ribosomal RNA
Rfam family: 5.8S ribosomal RNA (bases 1-122)
Source: RNAcentral
GAUGAAGAACGUAGCGAAAUGCGAUACUUGGUGUGAAUAGCAGAAUCCCGUGAACCAUCGAGUCUUUGAACGCAAGUUGCGCCCGAAGCCAUUAGGCCGAGGGCACGCCUGCCUGGGCGUCACACGUCGUUGCCCCCCCAUCUACUCCUUCGGGAUUGCGGGGGGCGGAUGAUGGCCUCCCGUGCGCCUCGUCGCGCGGUUGGCAUAAAUGCCAAGUCCUCGGCGACGCACGCCACGACAAUCGGUGGUUGCGAAACCUCGGUUGCCCGUCGUGUGCGGUCGUCGCGCAUCGAGGGCUCGAAAAAAUUGCCGGGCUCCGGCUCGGCUUUCAACGCGACCCCAGGUCAGGCGGGGUUACCCGCUGAAUUUAAGCAUAUCUAAGCGGAGGA